RNAcentral lists this ribosomal RNA (694 nucleotides) under uncultured Bacilli bacterium. RNAcentral's name for it is "bacterial SSU rRNA". It matches the Rfam family "Bacterial small subunit ribosomal RNA", at positions 55 to 732 of the family's 1533-position model. Lineage: Bacteria; Bacillati; Bacillota; Bacilli. The record is from RNAcentral.
AUGCAAGUAGAACGCAGAGGAUUGGUGCUUGCACUAAUCUAAUGAGUUGCGAACGGGUGAGUAACGCGUAGGUAACCUGCCUGGUAGCGGGGGAUAACUAUUGGAAACGAUAGCUAAUACCGCAUAAUAGUUUAUGACUCAUGUUAUAAACUUGAAAGAUACAACUGUAUCACUACCAGAUGGACCUGCGUUGUAUUAGCUAGUAGGUAGGGUAACGGCCUACCUAGGCGACGAUACAUAGCCGACCUGAGAGGGUAAUCGGCCACACUGGGACUGAGACACGGCCCAGACUCCUACGGGAGGCAGCAGUAGGGAAUCUUCGGCAAUGGGGGGAACCCUGACCGAGCAACGCCGCGUGAGUGAAGAAGGUUUUCGGAUCGUAAAGCUCUGUUGUUAAGGAAGAACGGGAGUAGGAGUGGAAAGCCUACUUUGUGACGGUAUCUUACCAGAAAGGGACGGCUAACUACGUGCCAGCAGCCGCGGUAAUACGUAGGUCCCGAGCGUUGUCCGGAUUUAUUGGGCGUAAAGCGAGCGCAGGCGGUUAGAUAAGUCUGAAGUUAAAGGCUGUGGCUUAACCAUAGUACGCUUUGGAAACUGUUUAACUUGAGUGCAAGAGGGGAGAGUGGAAUUCCAUGUGUAGCGGUGAAAUGCGUAGAUAUAUGGAGGAACACCGGUGGCGAAAGCGGCCCUCUGG